CCUACGGGGGGCAGCAGUGAGGAAUAUUGGUCAAUGGGCGAGAGCCUGAACCAGCCAAGUCGCGUGAACGAGGAAGGUCUUCGGAUCGUAAAGUUCUGUUGAAGGGGAAAAAGAGCGGAGAGAGGAAAUGAACUCCGAUUGAUAUUACCCUUCGAGGAAGUCACGGCUAACUACGUGCCAGCAGCCGCGGUAAUACGUAGGUGGCGAGCGUUAUCCGGAAUGAUUGGGCGUAAAGGGUGCGUAGGCGGCCUGCUAAGUCUGGAGUGAAAGGUACCGGCUCAACCGGUACAGGCUCUGGAAACUGG
This 305-nucleotide ribosomal RNA is filed under the name uncultured bacterium. Its description in RNAcentral is "bacterial SSU rRNA". It matches the Rfam family "Bacterial small subunit ribosomal RNA", at positions 338 to 636 of the family's 1533-position model. The record is from RNAcentral.